AUGGACUUCCAGAGGCAGAAGCUGCUGGACAUAAAAACUAUUUUCAUCAACUUCAUCACUGUGGAAAUGAGCUUUUAUGCAAAAGCUCUGGAGGUCUACACUCACACGUACCUCAACCUGGAGGCCAUGGACACUCAGAAGGAUCUCCAGCUGUUUUCUGCUCGGAUAAAGAUAUUCGACCCUCCAGUUUGGUCUCUGGACAGCCAGUCUUCUCCUCCCACGAUCCAUUACUCCAGCCUUCCUCCUAGCUCUUCCAAUCCCCCAAAUCCAGUUUCAGUAGAAACCUCUGGAGCAGCUCAAAGCCAUGCACUGCAGCGUGGACGUGAUGAAGGACCAGCUCCCAGGCCACACAGCAAUUUACAGCACCAGGCAGACAAGAAGGGGCAGCGGGACGAGACGGAUGACGAUGCUGAAGAAGAAGAAGAGGAGGAGGAGGACUCUGAUGAAGACAUGAAGCUCACUGGCCGACGGUCUUAUGCUGUUCAGUACGUCCAGAUGUGCAGGUCUAAACAAUAAGAGUCUGUGUUGCUGACGUGUCCAGAAACGUUUCAUGUAGAUGUAAAUGGACCUUUAAAAUGAAGUAUAAAUAUAUGUUUAUGUGUGGACUAUGCAUUCAUUCACUCAUGUUGGACUGAUUAAUGCUUCAAGUCACAGGGAGCUGUGGUCUAUCUCCAGCAGCCUAUGGGUGAGUAGCGGGGGACACCCUGGACAGGUCUUUGGUCCAUUACUGAGGCACACAGACAGCCACACUGAGGAACAAGGAACAUGAAUGUGUUGGGUCUGUGGGAGCAAACCCGAGAACCCAGAGGAAACCCACGCAUGCAUGGAGAGGACACGCUGGGAUUUGAACCGCAACACUUUUGCUGUGAGACAACAGUGAUGCCAUCUAUGCAGACCUCUUUAAGAACUAAAUAACCACGCCUCUCCAAACCCCAAACCACAAUCAUGAUGUCAACUUCAGUCUGAAUUGGACCCUCCCAUCUUUGUGCUCUCUACAUUUGUCCUCUACAGGGGUACACAGACAUUUGACACUCUGACCCGCCCCUUCUGCAGCAAGGUGAAGCCACGGACUACCUCCUUCUAAAACCUCAUCAGUUCUAUGGUUUUGUUUUUAAUCAACAGUUUCAGGAAAGCUGGAAAAAACCGUUUAGGGAUCAAACUGAAAAGUGUUGUCUCUAGGUAUCCCUGGUCACGGUAAAGCCAAGUCCACUCGUCACAUCUAAAGAGUUUAAAUUCAUGUCUUUGAGUCAGUCUCUUUGGCUCUGGCGCUGCUGUUUCAGGAAGUGGCGAUGGGAAGUAGAAGUCAAUAAAAAGCACGGACACCCUGCUCCUACCUUCCCCUUCCUGUCCCACAUCCUUCUGACUCCCAUGGGCCCACCGCAGACCCACUGGGCUCUCGGCAGCUUCCCCAUAGUUCUCUGAGUGACAUGUCCCUGUGCUGCUGCCCUCUGCUGUCCGAGCGUAGCCUCCUCUUAUUGCACCUUACACCUCUCUGGCUGCUCUACAACUCCUAGACUUGCUGGACUGCACGAAAAGCUUCAUAUCCAGUUUGUUACAAUUAAAUGGUAACAAUGGUAAUUAAUGGCUCAUAUUAAUAUAGCUCAACCCCUCCAGACACAGAGUCUUUCACCCAUUCACACACUAAUGGUGAUGAGCUACAAGGUAGCCACAGCUGACUUUACUGCCUGAGAACACUCAGGUGAUACUUUAUGUUACAUCAUCCAUCGCCUCCACUGUUGAAACUCUCUCGUUUGGUUCUGGUUCAGAGUGCGUCACAGCUUCCUGUGCUCAAAACCCACCAGUCAGUCCACACUUGUUACAGAACCUUUAGCAGAACAAUGUGGAUGCUGGUGCAGCGCCUCUGUUCUCCUGGCUAAACAUCUGCUCCCUGCAAGUAUCUAUAAACACCAGUAAAACCAAAACUCUUUUCACUUGUUCAAGUCUUGUGCAGCACCGGUAAAUCAAUUAAGUUCAUCACAAGAUACCCCGUUGUAUCUCACUUGCUCAAGUGCACCGAGACAGAAACAAUCAUAUUUUAACCCCUCAGCAUUCCAGCUUCCCGCCCGUGGGACAAAACCCUGUUGCAUUCAUUAAACCUGGAAAUGUAAGGGGUUAAAGUACGAUUGGAGUCUGCUACACUGAAAAGAAAAACUGUUCUCUCUUUGCAUUGCCUGUGUGCAAACCCCUGGGGUCCAGGCUCACGCCCAUGGGGCCCGGCAGGGUCCAGCCCAAACCUGUUACUUUGGCUUGUCCACUUGAGGAUCCACCAGCUGCAGGAGGAACAAGAUCCAUCAGAAUUUUGUUUCUAAUUGAUUAUUUUGAAAUCAUUCAUAUUUUCUGCAGGUUAAAUGUUGCAUUUGUUCAACUAAACUUUCAUACAUUAACCCUCUGGAGGCAGGCGUUGCAGAUUAGCAACGCUAAAACCUACCUGCCUGGUUACUCCACAUUCGUAUUUCAUGAGCAUUUCACUCAGAAGUGCCCCUGAAGGACUUAGUUGUUCGUCCCUUAAUCAAAACUUAUUUUGAGCCUGAGUGGGUUAAUAAAAGAAUGGCAUCAAUAUGAGACAAUACACGGGAAAUGCAUGUGGAAAUUUGGCUGUCCCACCGUCAGAGCGCGGGGGGGUNNNNNNNNNNNNCAGACCAGCCCACAUUACAGCCAAGCGGGACUUGUGUAUAUGUCGAUGGACUUGAUGUCAGGGUGUCUCACUUUCAGGUCUGCCUGCAAUGAUGUUAAUGAUGCAGCAGGUGUCAGCAGACAAACGGGGCGGUGUUGACUCAUAGCCGAUAGUUUGUGUAAUGCACCGAAAACGCUUCACGAGGCCUUAUCUACCCAUCACUGAUUAUGAGCAGAGGUGUGGAUUCGAGUCACAUGACUUGGACUCAAGUCAGGCUUGAGUCAUUAUUUUAAUGACUUGACUUGAUAAAAUCUAUAAAGACUAAUUUUUAUGGUUUUAUGGUUUUUGGUUAUACUUCCUUGCGAUUUUAUCUUCUGUGUUGAACAGCACUUUGGGUUGGGGAAGCAAUAAUGAGUGUGCUUUAGAAAUAAAUGUGACCUUGACCUUACGACUUGAAAGCCAGUGACAAGCGACUUGAAUUGACUUGCAUCUGUUGACUUGAAGAUGACUUGAGCGUGUUUGAUAUUUUAGCACAAAAGUGGCGCGACGUGGACAAAAAUCAUUAAUCAUUCUUGGUUCUGGGUUUGAUCUUGUUCUGCUAAAUGCAGCAGCACUUUGUUUAUAAUCAGUUUCAGUUUCUGCUUGUUUGAGCAAAAAAAUGAAGCUUUAAGAAGCUUUAUUCCUGGAAUUUAUUUAUUAUCAUUGUCAAUAAAUUGAAGUUGAACAGAUGACUUGAUUAUGACUCGAAAAUUCAAAUUUAAGGACUUGGGACUUCCACAUCAUUGACUUUUGGAUUCAACUUGGACUUGCCUCGAGAUUUGACUGGAAAGACUUGUGACUUACUAAUGACUUGCAAAGCAGUGACUUUGUCACACCUCUGAUUGUGAGCUUCCCACAUCUUUAAACAAAUUCUAUUUAGUUAGAGACUGUUGGUCUAGAGCAGGGGUAUUAAACUCCAGUCCUGCAGGACUGAGCACAUUUUAGUGGUUUCUCUGCUCAAUCACACUUGAUUCAGUGGUUGAAUCACCCUUGCAGCAGCUCAUCCGGCUCUGAAAUCAGGUGUGUUAAAACAGAGUUUAAACUAAAACAUGCCAGACACCGGCCCUCCAGACCCAGAAUUGAACACCCCUGGUUUGUGUAGAAGGAACAAUGACUCAGAUCUUUGUAGAUUAGGAAUGUUUAAUAUUGGUUAACAUUUGAACAUAAAGUUGAAAUAAGUUUGAUUCACUGAAUGCACUUACAGAGCAUCACUGGGCUUCACUGAACAUGAGAUUACAGAGACCAGACCAACAGAGUAAGGUAUAAGCACUGAUGUGAGAGUAUAACGCUCAGCCAGUCAGUCAGGUAAACACAGCAAGGUCCUGCAGAGGUAAAUAUUAACCAGAAGUCUUCACAGUUUUAGUUCAUCACAUCCAUGCACGUCUUCAAAAGUCAGGUCGCACGCUAAAUGGCACAAAAAAUGAAAUAAAAGAACUGGUGCAGAUGAUGUACUCUCAUCAAC
Molecule: long non-coding RNA, 4115 nt
Filed under: Nothobranchius furzeri (turquoise killifish)
Lineage: Eukaryota; Metazoa; Chordata; Actinopteri; Cyprinodontiformes; Nothobranchiidae
Description: lncRNA (ENSNFUG00015009295.1)
Source: RNAcentral